GAGAUCUCUUCCACCACAGGAUUCAGCCAAGAAGUCUUGAGGAGGAACUGCUUCAGUCUCCAAAUUUGAUCAAGCAGGGAGAUGUCCUCCACAGCUGGAUCUAAUAAGAAGUGAAUGUUGAUGAGCGUGUUCAGCCGGUGCCUAUUAGUAUUCAAGCUCUUGUGUAUGCGAACACCUUUGUUCUCCAUUGUGAGUGCUUGUUGAUCAAAUUCAUAUGUACAUCCUGCAACAUGGUUAGUGCAAUGUGGCUCCACAAAAAUAACAUGCAGGGGUAUAACACCCAAUAUCAGUGUAAGAGGCUGAACCUCAAAUAUAC
Molecule: long non-coding RNA, 316 nt
Filed under: Vigna radiata
Lineage: Eukaryota; Viridiplantae; Streptophyta; Magnoliopsida; Fabales; Fabaceae
Description: long non-coding RNA (VRAD_LNC008458)
Source: RNAcentral